Molecule: ribosomal RNA, 478 nt
Filed under: uncultured organism
Description: partial 16S ribosomal RNA
Rfam family: Bacterial small subunit ribosomal RNA
Source: RNAcentral
GUACACUCCUGCGGGAGGCAGCAGUGGGGAAUUUUGGACAAUGGGCGCAAGCCUGAUCCAGCCAUGCCGCGUGCGGGAAGAAGGCCUUCGGGUUGUAAACCGCUUUUGUCAGGGAAGAAAAGGUUCUGGCUAAUACCUGGGACUCAUGACGGUACCUGAAGAAUAAGCACCGGCUAACUACGUGCCAGCAGCCGCGGUAAUACGUAGGGUGCAAGCGUUAAUCGGAAUUACUGGGCGUAAAGCGUGCGCAGGCGGUUAUGCAAGACAGAGGUGAAAUCCCCGGGCUCAACCUGGGAACUGCCUUUGUGACUGCAUGGCUAGAGUACGGUAGAGGGGGAUGGAAUUCCGCGUGUAGCAGUGAAAUGCGUAGAUAUGCGGAGGAACACCGAUGGCGAAGGCAAUCCCCUGGACCUGUACUGACGCUCAUGCACGAAAGCGUGGGGAGCAAACAGGAUUAGAUACCCCAGUAGUCCCAUGA